Molecule: ribosomal RNA, 231 nt
Filed under: uncultured Staphylococcus sp.
Lineage: Bacteria; Bacillati; Bacillota; Bacilli; Caryophanales; Staphylococcaceae
Description: partial 16S ribosomal RNA
Rfam family: Bacterial small subunit ribosomal RNA
Source: RNAcentral
AGUAACACGUGGAUAACCUACCUAUAAGACUGGGAUAACUUCGGGAAACCGGAGCUAAUACCGGAUAAUAUUUUGAACCGCAUGGUUCAAAAGUGAAAGACGGUCUUGCUGUCACUUAUAGAUGGAUCCGCGCUGCAUUAGCUAGUUGGUAAGGUAACGGCUUACCAAGGCAACGAUGCAUAGCCGACCUGAGAUGGUGAUCGGCCACACUUGAACUGAGACACGGUCCAG